Homo sapiens (human) is the source of this 187-nucleotide long non-coding RNA. NCBI's taxonomy places the organism in Eukaryota, Metazoa, Chordata, Mammalia, Primates, Hominidae. The record is from Ensembl.
AAUACGUUCUCAUUUUUCUGAAAUACCACCAACAUUUUCCUGGAACUUUACUUCGGCCUCUUUCCCUGUAAUGUGAGACAGUCUGAUACAUCUGCAGUGCCCUUGCUAUAUGCAUUACACGCUAUGACUAGGCACCGGGCUGGGUCAACUCUACGCCAAGGUUAUAUUCAGGGUCGUAUACUUGAUU